This 493-nucleotide long non-coding RNA is filed under the name Fukomys damarensis (Damara mole-rat). Its description in RNAcentral is "lncRNA (ENSFDAG00000029407.1)". Lineage: Eukaryota; Metazoa; Chordata; Mammalia; Rodentia; Bathyergidae. The record is from RNAcentral.
AUAAUGAUCAAAAACAUCAGAUAAAAGAAAAAUGAAAGUAAAUAUAUACAGCUCAUUUCUUCUGGUAUGUUUCCGGAAAGCUGCCCUGAGACAGCUGGGAGGGACAGCCAAGGAGAAAAGAGAGGUUAAUUCUCUUGGAAUUUUGCUCAUGAGCUUACUUCUUAUGUCAUAAAGAAAAGAAUAUUAGAGUGAGAAUCAAAUUCCUAACCUGGCCUGCACAUGAAAGUCAGCAGUGACCAUUUUCCCAAGAGAAACAUUCCAUAAAACCAGUGCCCAGAGGCACAUCUGACUUCAACUUUCUUGUUUGCUCCUCCCUCAAAUGAGGCAGUUGUUUGAUCGAAAUCUUGACCCACCUAGGGCAGUGGAGAUUCAGAGCUUGUCAGACUUCAAAAGAAAGCCAUCAAAAACCCAAAACCAAAGUCAGCAUUCUUCCAAAGCUCUGAAUUUUUACUUGAAUAGACAAGUGAGCCUCUUCAAAUUGUUUUUCAAUUAG